GAUGAAGAACGCAGCGAAAUGCGAAAAGUAAUGUGAAUUGCAGAAUUCAGUGAACCAUCGAAUCUUUGAACGCACAUUGCGCCCGGCAGUAAUCUGCCGGGCAUGCCUGUCCGAGCGUCAUUUCUGCCCUCGAGCGAGUCCAGCAUCUAGGUGCUGGGCCCGCCCGGCGUUGGGGCACUACGGGAAGCCCUGUGCUGUCCCCCGUAGGCCCCGAAAUGAAGUGGCGGUCCUGCCGCGGCGCCCCCUGCGUAGUAUAACAGCUCGCUUCGGGACCCGGUGGAGGCCUGCCGUCAAACCUUACUCUCUAAGUUUGACCUCGGAUCAGGUAGGGUUACCCGCUGAACUUAAGCAUAUCAAUAAGCGGAGGA
This 368-nucleotide unclassified non-coding RNA is filed under the name soil metagenome. Its description in RNAcentral is "partial contains 5.8S ribosomal RNA, internal transcribed spacer 2, and large subunit ribosomal RNA". The stretch from base 1 to 120 matches the Rfam family "5.8S ribosomal RNA", at positions 35 to 154 of the family's 154-position model. The record is from RNAcentral.